AUGGGACUGUGUUACUUAUUUUCUGGCGUGACUUGGGGAGGACCCCUGAGAGUACGGACACGCGGGUGGCCCCAGGGCUUCCGGUCCCCCCAUUGCUGCUGCCGUAGGCGACCUCGUGAGCCCCGCGUGCCUGGUCACUGGCGGGCUGGUUGCCAGCUCUGCGUGGUGAACUCUGCUGCCCCUCGUUGGUUUCCCGUCAUUUUGCUUCCUUUUCAGGCUCCAGUCAGAACAAUGCUGGGAAAGAGGGAAGCUUUUAUCUUUUCAAUUUUCUCUCCAGCUUCCCUCCUGCCCCCUGUGCCUGGUUCUUCCAGGUGGCAACUCUGUCACCCGCACAACAAAAGCAGAUCGUUUCCAGUUUCACAGUCUCGCUGGUAUGGCAAUUCUUCUUCACGGCUGAUUUCAGCCCCCGCUUUCCUAAGGUCUGGUGUUUUAAACACAUUUUCUUGGAGCCUCAACAUGUUCUAUGCAUUUUUCACAGCAUGGACGUUCUCGUAAGGUUAAACAGUUUGCCGUUCAUGACUUACCGUGGCAAGUCUGUGUUUGUCGUUUGGCUUUGUGUGUUAUUUUUAUUCCGGUAUAACUGACGUAUAAAGUUACAACGGCUGCAGGUGUGCCAGGUGGUGACUUUUUUUUUAUCUAUACUGUGAGAUGAUCCCUCCAUGAGUCUAGGUAGGUCUGUCAGCAUCGUUGGUUACAGCGUUGUGCUUCUUCCUUGUGAGGGUACCUGUUAAGACUGACUCUCAGCAGCCUUCAAAGGUGCACCGCCGAAUGACCAACUCUCAUUGCUCUUUGGCAGCCGCCUCCUCACGCUGCGUUUAUUUGAUAACUGGAGGUUUGUACCUUUGGACACCCUUUAGCCCUCCCCUCCACCCCCACUGCCUCUGGCAUCAGCCGUCUGUUCUCUGUAUCUGUGAGGCUGGUUUUUGUUCGUGGUACAAGGUGAGACCCUGCAGCCUUUGUGUUUCUCGGGCUGCUUCUUCACUGAGCGCAAAACCCUGGAGGUCCAUCCGCGCUGCUGCUGCUGAAAACAGCCUGGUUUCCUCCUUUGUGGCGGAACCAACAGUGUCCGUGGUGAGUGUAUUUCACAGUAUACGUCUCAUGUCCUACAUAGGUGGACCCUAGGUUGCUUCCACGUCUUGGCUGCUGUGAAUAACGCCGCAGUGAACAUCGGGGCGCAAAUCAUCUUUUCACGUUGGCGCUGCGUUUCCGUCAACUGCGCAGAAACGGAGCCGGAGCAUGUUUUCUGAGUGUGCUGACCACUCGCUCCCGCACCCAGAUCUGUCAGCGUCCUUCUGGUCUAAGCCCUGGGCUUGGAGCAGUUUUAGGCCCCGUGGAACUUGGGGUUCGGGUUUCUGAAAGGAUGAAGAGCCAUGGCCUGAAAUCUUGGGGUGUCUCAGAGUUUUCCGAGACCUGUGCAGGUGACAGCUGCUGUCCUUUCUGCUCUAAGCUGGCCUUGGGAGCCGCAACCAGGAGGGCCACACCUGGAGCUGAGCCAGCGGGACAAGCCGCCAGGACACCGGGUGGGGUGUGAUGCGGCCCGGCAGUGUGGUUGAAUGACAGCGGUCAGGGCGAAUGCUCACCAAGGGCCGUUUCACAUCUGCCUCCGCAGUCCCGACGUUCCCUCUUCUGACGGGUGGAGGACGGGGUGACGGCAGGUGACCGGGCCGGGAGGGGACAGCCAGGACCAGCAGGAUGACGGACGUCUGCUCCAUCCUCGGCCGCGCUGCCUGUGGGAGGCGGGGGCUGCGGCCAGUCCCCCCCCCUCCCUCCAGGUUUUCGCCGAUGGCGCCAGCAGACGUCGCCCCUUCCUUCCUCGGCGGGCACAUUGGUACGUUUACGGCAUCCUCGGGGGGGAUGGUAGGCUUUCUUCCUCCCAUUCUCCCUUCCCCGCGCCUGUGCCGCGUCUGACGCUCACCGGGGUUCCUCGGGUCCAGGAGCCCAUCCCCCUCGGCAGACGUGCCGCAGCAUCUUCUCACACCACGCGAACGGCCGCAGGGAGGUCCCUCGGGGCUGUCUGUCACCACCUGCUCUUGGGUGGGGCUCAGGGCCUCAAGUCUCGUUCAGUUCCGUGCCUGGGAACAGGGGUCUCCUGUGUGAAGGGGAAGAUGUCAGUGCAGCCGCAGAGGAGCCGAGCACCCCCCCCUCCCAGGGGAGGAGAGCCUAGGACCCCUGCUUCCUGGGGUCUGUUUCCGCUUUGCUUUAUCCCCUUGUUUUGCCGAAGCGCAUCUCCCAGAAGGGUCUGGAGCACGGGACCGUGGGGGAACAUUUUGUGUCCGGCACAAAAACGUCUUCCUGUCACCUCGCCCUGGCCUUUCUCGCCGUCGUGCACUGUCCUGUACGCUCCUAUUUGCCUGCUCCUGUGCGUUGAUGCCUUUCUCGUCACUGCCGUUCGUUUAACUGGCCUUUAAGAUGAGCACCGGCCCGAGCGCACGAUUGGGCCCAGGUUACCCGGUCUCAGCGAGCGCGGGUGCGCGGAGGGGCUGCAGGCCUUGCACGCAGAGCCCACCUCUCAGGCAGGCUGGCUGGUGUGGCCCCACUCAGCCCCUUGUGGGGUGAGGUGACGACCCCAAGGCCACACAGUCGAUGCCUAAAGAACAGAGCCGGGAAACUAAGUCUGAAUCGGACCAUCCCACCCACCCAGCAGCCGAUAACGCAGCCCGAGAGACCAGGGCCGCACUGCAAACACGGAUCGGCAUCGGGAGAGGCCCCGGCUUUGAGGACGGGCAGGACGGCUGAGACGAGUGGGGCGUGCGGUCAGAACCCAGAGGUAGCGUGAGUCACGGCAGCGGGCGACGGUGCCUCAACGCGGAGAAGCAGCCGGUGGAGGGGGGCAUGUCCGUGGGAGACGAGGUGACAAGAAGGGCUGUGGGGAGGUCAAGGUGAGGUCAGGGUCAGGGCAGCCCCACCCCUGCUCGCUCACUGACCUCAGCAGGUUACUUCUCCUGGGAAGCGCCAUUCAAAGUGCUAUUUAGAGGGCUAAAUCAUUGAUUAUAUGCAAAACAUACAUUUUGUGAACUUCAAAGCACUUAAUAAACACAAGGUAUAAGUCUUUUAAGUCUAGGAA
Molecule: long non-coding RNA, 3064 nt
Filed under: Sus scrofa (pig)
Lineage: Eukaryota; Metazoa; Chordata; Mammalia; Artiodactyla; Suidae
Description: lncRNA (ENSSSCG00025036565.1)
Source: RNAcentral